This 5250-nucleotide long non-coding RNA is filed under the name Solanum tuberosum (potato). Its description in RNAcentral is "long non-coding RNA (STUB_LNC008807)". The record is from RNAcentral. Lineage: Eukaryota; Viridiplantae; Streptophyta; Magnoliopsida; Solanales; Solanaceae.
GCCCUCCCACAGAAAGCCCAAACACGUGACAAAUUGCGUAAAGCCGAUUGAAUAUCCCCAAUCAUAAAUACCGAUAUACACCAUCAUACAUACAAAUUCGAUCAUCACUACACUCUUCAUACGUACGAUCAAUUUCCGGAAUUCUCAUCAGUUUCCUCUACACCAUUUUCCUCACUUUUAUCACUGUAAGUUACAUUCUGCUAAUCUGAUUGUUGUUGUAUAAUGCAGUUCAUAUACACUGCAUUUCUUAAUCUGAGUACUUGCUUUAAGAAAAAUUACUGGGAAUUUAUAGGAUCUGUAGUAAAAUUGUGAUAGUUAUUGUUGUUGAUUGCAAUUUACGUAUAUUGUGAGUUUCCUAAUCUGUCGUGAUUGAUGUGGUAAAGUGAGGUAUUAUGUAAUAUUGUGUUAAGAUGACCUACAGAGUUUUAGGGUUUCGUGAAAUUCUGAUUGUUAUAGAUGUGGAUUGUGAUAGAGUAUUUAGGGUUUCGUGAAAUUGAGAUUGUUAUAAUUGUUGAUUGUCUAAUACUUUUACCAACAGUUUAUCUUAAUAUGAGCUCAAUACCGACAGACCGUCGACUUCUAGUUUUCAUUGAGGUGAAUUCUGAUUGUUGAUUGUGCUGUAAUCUCUGCUGCACUUUUACAUACAAAGGAAUGGAUUGUACAUUUGAUGUAAAUCUCUGCUGCAUUUUUACAUGGAUUGUACAUUUGCUGAGUAAGGAAUGGAUAUACACAUUUACUAACAGUUUAUCUUAGUAAGUGCUCAAUGGUGACCGACUGUCAGCUUGUGAAAUUCUGACUGUUGAUUGCGGUGUAAUCUGUCGGCUGCACUUUUACCUACAAAGAGAUUAAUAGCCAAUGAUUAUAACUAAAAGCAAAUUCACAAUCCAAAAUUCUGUACAUAAAGAGGAGAUACGGACAUAAAUGAUCAUUUUAAAGAUUGAGAUGACUCUUUCCUUCAUUUUCCAGCAGUAGACAUUAGGCAGAGAGAGCAUAGAGGCACCCUCAUAUAAACAGAGUUCAGAAAAGUAGAGAACGUAAUGCCCUUUAUUUACGGGUCAUAUACUCCAAUUUCAACUACUAAUAUCAAGCUCCUUAGAUCCCCAUCACAAGUAAUAAAACCUAGAACCGAUAAGCAGUACAAGUAAUCUCUAUUAAUAGAUCAACAAAAUGGAUAAGCACUAAAGUAAUACUUCAAGCAUUUCAGUGUGACAGAAUUCAUAACAUUACACCCAGACAUAAUAAUAGCAAAAGGUGGUUCAAGUCACUUAGUUAGGACAAAGCAAACAGCGCAAAAGCAAGCUAAAAAAAAAAAAGGAAUACCUCCAAAGUCUGUCCUGUCCACCUUAAGGAGAAAGGUAUCUUUAUUUCUUUCAGAUCUUUGUUUGACAUGUUCCUACAGAUGCCAUGACACUGUAUAUUGCAGAUGCCUAGGCCUAAGAGGGGAUUUAAUCAGAAUGGGAAGAAUAAUAAGAGUGUCAAAAAUAAGCCAGCAGAAGUGACACCAGAACCAAAAGAUGAAUGGCUAUGUAACCUGUGCAACAAGAUGAUAAGUGCCAAGAUAACAACAGUAAAUGUACACAGAGAUGCAUGCAGAAAAAUCAAGGUGAGCAUUCAGUGUAUAUUGAUGCAUUAAAGUAUCUGAAUGAUUAGUGUACUAAUGAAUUCAAAUUUUGAAUCAGGAUGCCCAAGAUAGGGCGGCAGCAAAUGCAAGGGCAAAUGCAAGAGGGGGACUUCACUAAGGGGGAAGCUGCUAAGGAUUUGUUUGCAUGAAAUAUCAAAAUCCGUAUGUGAAAAUGUAUGAUAUUUUGAAAUAUAAAUCUUUGUAUGUGAUAAUUGGCUUUGCCAAAAGGGGAUUUACAAUGAUUUGAGACUCAAGGUUCAUUGUGUCUGUUUGAUACAGGACAUAAAUGUUUUGAGAUAUUUUGUUUGUAUGUUUCAGAAAUUUUGAUAAAGGAGUUGACAGAUUGUUAAGACUAAUACCUUUAAUGUAACAGAUUGUUAAGUGUGAAGCAUUUACUUGGUCUGUAUUUUGGUAUGUGAUAUUGGGCUUUGCCAUAAGGGGAUUUACAGAGAUUUGAGACUCAAGUUCCAUUGAGACUCAAGGUACUUUGUAUCUGUUUGAUCCAACACAUAGAUUUGAUAUUUGGCUUUGCCAUAAGGGGAUUUACAGAGAUUUGAGACUCAAGGUACUUUGUAUCUGUUUCAUCCAGGAUAUAGAUCCUUGAAUGUUUGAGAUAUCUUGCUUGUAUUUUUGAGAUAUAGAAAAAUUGACAGAUUGUUUAGUGUGAUACCUUCACUUAGCUAAUUAUUCAUUGACAGAUUUUUAAAUGUGAUACAUUUACUUACAGUGACAGAUUGUUUAGUGUAAUACCUUCAGAUUGAUUAAUGUGAUACCUUUACUGAUAUUUUGAAGACAGAUUGUUUACUUGUUUUCUGUACACAUUUACUUAGACGUUUGUUCACUUAGAAGUUUGCUGUUAGAGUUCAGUUAGACGUUUACUCCAUAAGUUCACUUAGCCGCUUACUGUUAGAGUUCAGUUAGACACUUACUCCAUAAGUUCACUUAGACGCUUACUCCAUAAGUUUACUUAGAAGUUUGCAGACUUAGAGUUCACUUAGAAGUUCUGACUUAGACAUUUGCUGCAUCGGCUCACUUAGACGCUUGCUGUUAGAAUUCACUUGGACGCUUGCUGUUAGAAUUCACUUACACGCUUACUGUAAGAGUUCACUUAGACGCCUACUGUUAGAGUUCACUUAGACGCUUACUGUUAAGAGUUCACUUAGACGCUUACUGUUAGAGUUCACUUAGACGCUUACUGUUAGAGUUCACUUAGACACUUACUCCAUAAGUUUACUUAGACGCUGACUUAAGAGUUUACUUAGAAGUUUGCUGACUAAAGAGUUCACUUAGAAGUUUGCUGACUUAGACGUUUAUUGUAAGUAUGCUGACUUAGACAUUUAUUGUAAGAGUGCACUAAGAAGUUUACUGACUUGGACGUUUGCUGCAUAGGCUCACUUAGAUGUUUGCUGCAUCGGCUCACUUAGAAGCAUAGGCUCACUUAGACACUUACUUUUAUAGUUCACUUAGACGCUAGCUGUUAGAGUCACUUAGAAGCUUACUCCAUAAGUUCACUCAGACACUUACUGUUAGAGUUCAGUUAGACGCUUACUCCAUAAGUUCACUUGGAAGUUUUCUGACUUAGAGUUUAAUUAGAAGUUUGCUGACUUAGAGUUUAAUUAGAAGUUUGCUGACAUAGAGUUUACUUGGAAGUUUGCUGACUUAGAGUUCACUUAGAAGUUUGCUAACUUAGACGUUUAUUGUAAGAGUGCACUAACUAGUUCACUGACUUAGACGUUUGCUGCAUAGGCUCACUUAGACGCUUGCUGCAUAGGCUCGCUUAGACGCUUGCUGCAUAGGCUCGCUUAGACGUUUGCUGCAUCGGCUCACUUAGACGCAUAGGCUCACUUAACGCUUAGGCUCACUUAGACGCUUGCUGUUAGAGUUCACUUAGACGCUUACUCCGUAAGUUUACUUCAUAAGUUCACUUAGACGCUUUCUGUUAGAGUUCACUUAGACGCUUACUCCGUAAGUUUACUAAGACGCUUACUCCGUAAGUUCACUUAGACGCUUACUCCAUAAGUUCACUUAGACGCUUAAUCCAUAAGUUCACUUAGACGCUUAAUCCAUAAGUUCACUUAGGCGCUUGAUCCAUAAGUUCACUUAGACGCUUAAUCCAUAAGUUCACUUAGACGCUUAAUCCAUAAGUUCACUUAGACGCUUGAUCCAUUAAGUUCACUUAGACGCUUUAAUCCAUAAGUUCACUUAGACGCUUAAUCCAUAAGUUCACUUAGACGCUUAAUCCAUAAGUUCACUUAGACGCUUACUCCAUAAGUUCACUUAGACGCUUAAUCCAUAAGUUCACUUAGACGUUUACAUAUACUUAGACAUUUAAUGUAUACAUUUACUUAUAAUAAUGUUUACUGAUCAAGACUUAUAUUGACAGAAUGUUUACUGUAUACGUCUACAGAUUGUGUGCUGUAUACAAACACCUAAAUGUUUAAAUAGAUGAUUUAUACAUGAUAUGUUUCCUUAAAUGUUUAAAUAGAUGAUUCAAACGUGAUAUGUUUACUUAGUGAUUUACUGUGAUGAUUUAAUGUAAUAAUUUGAUGAUUAUCGGACUUAAUAAUUUGAUGAUUCUACUGUGUGACUUAAGUACUAACUACUAAGGACUUAAUAGUUUGAUGAUUCUAUCAUGUGACUUAAGUACUAAGGACUUAAUAAUUUGAUGAUUCUACUGUGUGACUUAAGUAGUUUAUGUGAGUUCAUAAUGUGACCAAUAAAUAAUUAAACUUAGAUUUAUAUAUAAAUUUACUUCUAAAAACUAAUAAACAAAAACAGUUUAUAAACAUUGUUUUGAAAAUCACAAUUCAUUAAUUACCUAAUAACCUAAUAAUGUAUAUAAAUUAAAUCUUAUCAAGUUCAAUAAAUAAAAUAUUUUUUAAAAGGGACAUCGAGUUAGUUAUUGAGAGUAAAAGCAUAUUGUUAGGAUUAAAAACACAAAAAUUGAUAAUCAAGAAUGAAAUCCAAGAAUAAGGUAGUAAUGAAUCACAACAAAAAUAACUUGAUUUAUCAAAAAAAAGCCAAAAUUUUUGAUAAACAAGGAGAUCCUGGACAAAUAAGAAGGAGAUCUAAGAAUGAACAAUCGAUACAAAAACAACUAGAUCCAAUAAUGAACACUUAGAAUUUAUAAGUCGACAGAAAAAUAAUAACUUGAUUUAUGAUUAAAAACAAAAAAAAAAAUCAAUAAACAAGAAAGGAGAUCAAAGAACUAACGUUUAGAAUUAAUAAAUCGAAAGAAAAAUAACAUGAUUAAUGAUAAAAACAAAGAAUAAACAUGUUUAAACCACAAAAAAGAAUGGAAAUUGUAGAUUGACAAUUGACAUACCGUGUAUUCUUCUUGAUUAUUCUUGAAAAACAAAAUUUUGAUAUUCUUCGAUCAAGAUCUAUUUUUUUUUCUUCAUUAUUCUUGAAAAACAAAGAAAUCAAAAUAAUCUUGAUGUUCUUCGAUCUAGAUCUAUUUUCUUCUUGAUUAUUCUUAGAAAAAAACAAAGAAAUCAAAAUGAUUUUGAUGUUCUUCGAUCUAGAUCUAUUUUUUUGAUUGGGAGAAAAAAGAAAAAUAUUUUUUUGUGAGAGAGAAAAAAGAGCAAGAUGAAGAGAUUAGGUUACAAAGUACAAGAAGUAGUCUGCGG